RNAcentral lists this ribosomal RNA (301 nucleotides) under uncultured bacterium. Its description in RNAcentral is "partial 16S ribosomal RNA". It matches the Rfam family "Bacterial small subunit ribosomal RNA", at positions 509 to 807 of the family's 1533-position model. The record is from RNAcentral.
CAGUCGCCACGGUAAUACGUAGGUGGCAAGCGUUGUCCGGAAUUAUUGGGCGUAAAGGGCUCGCAGGCGGUUUCUUAAGUCUGAUGUGAAAGCCCCCGGCUCAACCGGGGAGGGUCAUUGGAAACUGGGAAACUUGAGUGCAGAAGAGGAGAGUGGAAUUCCACGUGUAGCGGUGAAAUGCGUAGAGAUGUGGAGGAACACCAGUGGCGAAGGCGACUCUCUGGUCUGUAACUGACGCUGAGGAGCGAAAGCGUGGGGAGCGAACAGGAUUAGAUACCCGUGUAGUCCCUGUCUCUUAUAC